RNAcentral lists this long non-coding RNA (28494 nucleotides) under Solanum tuberosum (potato). Its description in RNAcentral is "long non-coding RNA (STUB_LNC005060)". Lineage: Eukaryota; Viridiplantae; Streptophyta; Magnoliopsida; Solanales; Solanaceae. The record is from RNAcentral.
UCUCACAAUUUCUCUUUACUCUUUCCUAAGGGUAUAUUUGGUACAAAGAAAAAUAUAUUGUUACAAUUUUUUCAUGUUUGGUAAAUUUUUGGAAAAUCAUUUUCUCGGGAUAUUUUUUUCUUAAAAAGAUGAGGAAAAUGAGUUUAGAAAAGAAGUUUCAUAAGUACAAUUAGAGGUAGAGCGAUUUUUUUUUAAGGAUUCUGAAUCUGAGAAUGACGAGUAAAGAAGUCUUCCAUUUUAUUUUUCUUGAAUAGACAAACACAACACGUGAAUCACCAAUUCAUUUGAGUUGGAUGGUCCAUGUCCACGUGGGAAUAUAAUAUUGUAUAUAUUUAAAUAAUCUUUUGUAAGUGGCUAUAACUAAAUUUUGAAUCUAAUAUUUAUAUACUUUUAAUAAAUUUCUUGAUACAAGUAUAAACUAUUCUAAUUGAGUAAAAGUUACUAAGUUCUAUCGAAUCUAUAAUCGGACUUCUAGCUUCGCACUGACAUUCCACACUUAUUUGUCUCCUACCUAUUUCCAGCAUAGCCCACCCCACCACCAGGGGCGGAGCUACUGUAGCAGAAGGGGGUUCGGGCGAACCCAUUGACUUUUCUGUAGAUCUAGUAUUCGUAUUAAAAUAUCAAAUAUAAAGUACAUAUAAAUUUACUCGAACCCACAAGCAUAGUGAGGUGUGUAGCCCAGUGAUUUUUGUGCACCCAGUCACUGUAUUUUUGGAAUUAUUUUCUAACAUACCACGUAUAAAGACAUACAUAGGUUUAUAUAAUAAAAAAAAAUUAAAAAAACAGAAUGGUAAAUGAAAAAAGUGUUUUUGAAAUUAAUUCUAACCUUAAAGAUAAUAACAUAAGUAGGUUUAUAUAUUUAUUUUUUAAAAAAAUCGGUAAAUGAAAACAAACGUAGGUUUAUAUAAAAAAAAACAAAAAAAAACAGAAUGGUAAAUGAAAAAAGUGUUUUUGGAAUUAAUUUCUAACCUAAAGAUAAUAACAUAAGUAGGUUUACAUAUUUAUUUAUUUAUUUUUUUUAAAAAAAAUAGAAAAUCAGUAAAUGAAAAUAAAUAGAAAAACAGUGUUUGUGUCAUACUCUAAAACAAUAUCUAACCAUUGAUAUCUACUCAGAGGUUCAAAAAAACUUUGACCCAAAUUUAUUUUUAAAAGUUACGGUUCUGACUUUUAUUGUUAUUGUGACUGCUACCAUCCGACCUUUGUCCUCCGGUAUGUACUAUGUACUCUCGCCUCUCCUUUUUUAAUUUUUUUCUUAUUUGUUUUCUUUUACAUUGUUUAAUUAUCUAUUCAAAAAUUAAUUUUUAAUCUUUGAUUCUAGGGUUAUCCCACAUAUUGAUAAUUGAUUAUGUUAAAAUAACUGUUGUUUGUUUUUCGAAAUUUUAACUUUUGAAGGCAAUAAUGGUUCAAGGUAAGCUAGUAAAAUAUAUGUUGGUGCCAAAAUAUUAAUGGUGAAUCUAAUAAUUUUAAUCUCACUUAGAAAAAUUAUAGUAAAACUGUUCAAAAUUUAUAUUUAAAAAGUUAUUCAUUUUUUAAUAACAAUAUUUUAGAACUUGAAAAUAAAUUACUCAAAUCUUCAUAUUAUUAAAUCAAGUUUUUACAAUAAAAAUAUCUAAGGUAAUAUUUUCAAACAUGAUUAACAUCUCAUUAACAAAAUUUGUGUUUUGUGAUUUUUAAGAUCGUUGUUCUUUUUAAAAUUUAGAACCCACGGGCCUGAAAUCCUGACUCCGCAUCUGCCCACCACCACUCUUCUCACAUUAUUUUCUUAGAUUAUGAAGAAAAAAGCUAUUCUACUUAUUUAUCAAACACCAAAAAAUAUUUUCCUUAAUACCAAGAACACCCUAAAUCUAUGACUUUAUUUCUUAUUAAAAAAGAAUGCUAUUCUCAUGCAUGAAACAUUAAUCUUUUUCUUUUUCUCCUUUUCCCUUUAUUACUGCUUUCAAAGCCAUGACCAAUUAGGAAAACAUAUUCUCCCUAUAAUGCAUUUUGAAUUUAACUUACGCUGACAGUAUAAAGAAUUUUACAGGCCGAAAGGGCUUGACACCAGCAGAAUCUGCAAAGCUUGGUGGUAGCUACAAUAUAUUCCUACAAACUUCAUUACCAGAAAAUGUUCGACUCUACAAUCCUGACGAUGAAACAUUUGAAUCAUCACAAAAUCUUUUCAGAUCGAUAUUUUUACGAGGAUUCGCGAUCGAAAUCCUCCAUGUUUAUUCAGGACCACCAGGAAUUGUUUACAGAUUUAGGCAUUGGGGUUACAUGGAUGGUCCAUUUAAAGGACAUGCUCCAACUGGACAACUUAUUGAGCUCUUUGGAAUUGGCACAUUUGAAGUAAUUAACAAAAAACCAUCUACAUUUCUUUAUUUUUAUUUUAUUUUAAAAAAAAUUUAUAUACAUUUUGUGAAAUAUAUAAUUUAAAUGUUAAUUUGUUGAAACAGUUGGAUAAAGAGAGUAACAAGAUUAUAAAGGCAGAGAUGUUUUUUGAUAGAGGAGAAUUGCUUGGAGGACUUGUGAAAGGAGAAAGCAAUGUUGCUUCAACAUGUCCUUUUAUGAAAUAAGAAGAAAUUAUUACUAGCAAAAUGUUGCUUAUUUACAAGAUGUAUGUGGUUAUGUUUUAUUAUUUUACUAAAAAUGUGUAGCUUACCUUUGAAGCACAUGGUUUGUUUAAUAUUUCACAUAAAAAGUACUCAUGUUCUAUGAUUUUUUUUUCUCUUUGACUACAAGUUUUAUACAUUUAAUUAUCUUUUAUACUUGUGAAAGAUUGUUAGUACUUGUAGUACUGUUUAUGCAAUUUAGUAUUUAAAUUAAAGAAGAGCUCUUUAGGUCUCAUUUAUGUUGAUAAAAAUCUUAUAAUUUUGAUUGCAAUCAUUAAAUUCAUUUGAUUUUAAGAUCUUAAUCUUAAUUAUUAAAUUUGUUUUUUGACAACCCCUAAAUGGAUCUAAUAAAUGUUUAAGGUCUCAUUGAUUACGCUUAAUGAAUGUCUUAAUUUUAAUCAAAUCAUUUAGGUCUAGUUUUUAAUAAUUCAAAUUUUAACCAUCAAGUGCAUUUGAUUUUUUGAUGUUACAACCAUUUAAUGGUUAUUAAUGAUUAAAAUAUGUAACAAAGUCUUAAACUCUAAUUUGAGAUGUCUAUUCAAAUAUUUCUAGAGAUGGUAGUUCAUUAAUUCCAUCAAUCCACUGUUAUUGUCAUCGCUUAUCACUAUCAAUUAUCACGAACAUUGCACAUUGUUAUCAACUAUCAUCAUUCAUAACCCACGAUGAUCAUCAUCCUCAUUCAUAUCAACCAUUGUUGUCAAUAGCUACAAUCAGUUAUCACCAUCACUAUCCACCAUUUACAAUUAUCACCACAAAACCAUCAUUAACACAACGUGCAAUCACUACAGAUAAUCAUCACCACUAGUUACCAUUAUAUAAUGUAAACCACUGACACCAUUCACCAUGAUCAUUAUCAUCCACCACAACCAUUUGUUAUUGACACCAAUUUCCACCAUCAACCACUACUAGCAGCAACCAUCACCAUUCUAUCCACAACAACACUAUCAACCAACACCAUCUCCAAUUGACACUCGUAACCAUAAUCAUCCACCGCUACAUAAUUAAAGAAAAAGAAUACUGCAAAAAUAAUACCUGCAAAAAUACAAAGACAUAAUUAAGGUUGUAAUAUACAACUAUAUAUUUUCCAGUUACAUCAUACAUAGGGAAUGUAAAACAUCAUGUUCAUUUCAUUUUUCAAAUGCAACAUUUUCUUUCAUAAACUUAACAAAAACCAAACUAUGUCAAACUCAGAAAAGUUCAAUUCUGUUCAAUAUGUUCAUACAAUAUCUGAGGCCGGUCGCCUUCUUCCUUCUGCCAAUUGUUGGAACUCGAUAGAAUUGGACUUCAAUCUCCUCCCUAAAUCAUCUUUAAAUGAAAAUUUCGAGUCUUUACAAUCAAGAUUUUCAAAAUCUAUUGAUUUUAACCUGUUUGUUAAAAUAAAAUCCAUUUUAAGCGAUUCCUCGUUGUAUCAGCCUUGAUAAUCCUCAUUAUACCUUCUCUUAUUCUUCUUAAGCAUUUUUAUCAUCCAAGAAAACAUCAUCAUGACUCUUCCCACAAUAUCACUCUUGCUCUUAACAAAGCUCUUCUCUUCUUUGAUGCUCAGAAAUGUAUAGUGCAUACAAUUUUAUACUGUUUUCUUUUAUGUUUAUGACUUCCUUCCCCUGUUUCCUUUUUUGGUGGUUGGUUAAAUGAUCUUUUUUUAUUCGUGCAGCGGGGCGAUUUAUGGAGAAUAGUUUGAUAAGGUUUAGAGGGGAUUCAGGGAUGAAUGAUGGGAAUAGCAAUGAGAAGAAUUUAGAUCUUGGUGGUGGUUUUUAUGAUGCUGGAAAUAAUAUAAAGUUUAGUUUCACUAUAGCUUAUACUGUUAGUCUUUUGUGCUGGACAGUGAUUGAAUAUCAUGAAAAGUAUGAAGAUAUUGGAGAAAUUGAUCAUGUUAAAGAUAUAAUCAAUUGGGGUAGUUUAUAUUUGCUUUAACUCUUUGUUCCUCCAAAUAAUUCUUCAGCUAGAAUCUACUCUCAGGUACUAAUCAAGAAUCUGAAUUCAAGACUAUUUUGAGUUAAUCGUCGAAAACAUACAUGAACUAUCACUUUUUCAUGAGUUUCACAUCUCAACUGUCAAUUGUUCUCUUUUCCUAUCUGAUUUAUCACCCAUAUGUGUAUUAAAACACACCGCAAAGCUGACUAGGCCAAAUCAGUUGUUCCCUUUUCCGACCUUAACUGUCACCGUAUAUUCAACUAGGCUUAUUUUAGAACAUAGAUGGUGAUAGUUCAGGUAGGAAAAGGGAAUCGCUGAUAGUUGGAGUGUGAAACUCGCGAAAAAGUGAUAGUUCGGAUGUGUUUUGGACCAUUUUCUCUAAUAUUUUAGGAUUAAAAUUUCAAUCUUUUGUUGAUUUCUCAUUUCAGGUUGGAGGGAAUAAUUCAAAUGCUGAGAAUGAUCUAACUUGUUGGCAAAGGCCAGAAGACAUGAAUUACCCAAGGCUUGUUUCGGUUUGUGACAUUAGUACUGCUUCAGACUUAGCAGGGGAAAUGGUAGCAGCAAUGUCAGCUGCAUCAUUAGUAUUGAAAGAAGAUAAGGACAUUUCAGAGGAAUUGGUGAAAACAGCAGAGGAAUUGUUCAUUCUUGCGAAUAGAAGAGCAAAGAAAGGAAAGUACACGACGAAUGAUGAGUGUGGAGGACAAGCUAGACAAUUUAAUAACUCAACUAGUUAUAAAGAUGAAUUGGAUUGGGGUUGUUUUUUGCUACAGGAAACAAAACUUACCUUAAGUAUGCAACAGAAAACUUUGCCUCAGCUGUAAAGGAACAGGUAGCUUCUGAUGAAGACGUCUUCGAUUGGAACAACAAGAUUACUGCUAUAUCGGUAACUUGGCACAAAAUCUUGAUGAGAAAUAAUGUUUUGUUGUUGUAUGCUUUUCAUCUUAAGACUGAAACUUACUACUGUUAUAUAGAUACUGCUAACAAGGAUUAGGUACUUUCGGGAUCUUGGUUAUCCAUAUGAGUCUUCGUUUAUAUCAUCAACGAACAAUAUUGAUUUGCUCUUGUGUUCGUAUACUUCUGAUAAAAAGUACAGCAAAACAGCAGGUGAUGUCUCAAUGUUCAUAUUUUUUGCUAUUCAUAGCUUAAAGACAUUAAAAAUUGAUGCAUUUUCAGUUGGACUAAUCCUUUUAAAGCCAAGCACUGAUGCAGCACUACUCCAGUAUGCUGCAACAUCUUCUUUUCUUAGCAAAUUGUAUAGUGACUAUCUUCAGCUUUUGCGUACACCAAGCAGAAGGUUUCUGAUUCUGUCUUUUCCUUGGAAAGUUUAAAACAAUUCUCACUAUCACAGGUGAUAGUUCUUAUUAAGGAGUACCCCUCAAAAGUACCAAUUUUCGCGUAUCUUUAUGAGGCUACACCUUCUUAUAAUUAGAAUGCAUACAACACUAUUCCUGACGUUUUUUCGGACAAAAGAAGUAAACCGAGCCAAAUAUAGCAAGUAAUGUUGGGCUUGUAGCAGCACUGGCUGCUCUUCAUGAUCCUCCUACUGGAUCUUCUUUAGGUAAUUUAGGAAUAGACUAGCAUGGUAUGUUUGAAAAUGUAAAAGAAGUGUCUUGAGUAGAAAGGAAGUAACUAGUUACUCUUACUCCCUCUAUUUCAAUUUAUUUUUUUAACUUUCCCUAAAAUAGUCCGUUUUCAAAAAGAAUAGUACCUUUUUCUUGUUUAGAGAACUCUUUAAUUCCAACUUUUCACCUGACACGUUUGAAAUCUCAAGUGUCAUGAACUGCAUUUUGGUAUAUAUUCUAUAUAUCUUUAGUAUGAAACCACAACAUUCAAAAGUCAUUUUUAAGAAUUUCAUGUCAAGUAAAAAAAAUAAACAAAUUAAAACAAAGGAAAUAGCAGUUACUUGACAUUGUUUAGAUAAUUAAUUAAGGUUCAUAAGGACAAAUAGUUGCAUCAAUUUUUAUCUAUAAUUAAGCAGUAAAAAAGUUUAUAUAUGCAAGACACAUGUCUUAUAUUAAAUCGUUUGAUGCAAACACCGGAUGCAUUACUUACAUGCACCUAGUGUUUACAUCAAACCACACAAUCUAAUCUUAAAAUCGCGAAUUAGAAUAAAAGGUACACAUAGAUAUGUACCAAAUGAAGUGUACGUUCACAUAACUGAAUUUGGGAUGUAUAUUUUACAUAACAAGCAAAAAAAAAGGAUAAUGGUUAGAAAACUUUUAAAAAAAGUUAUAUUUACAACUAGCUUGUCACAUUUUCUUGGACAUGCAUGCACUUUCAUCUUCAAGCAGAUUUGAAGAUAUCAAUACCAUAUACAGCCUACAAAAUAAAGGUUAAAUAAACAAUUAUCAGAAAUUAAGAAGAAAAUAAUUGUUAUUGGAUCAUUAAUUAGUGUAGAGUUAAAUAUAAUUAUAAAAUAAAUUAUAUUGAGAUCAAUCUUACCAAAACUUCAUGAAUUUCUUCUAACAAAGGUGCCAAUAGUGAAAUGAAGGUUCGCAAUUCCUUCUUAAAAUCAUCGUUAUUUUUAUCUUUUCCCUUCAGAAUUGUGAUUAACCCCUUGCUAUCUGGCACUAGCUUUAGUACUACCUGCAGAAUAAUUGUUUAAUUUUCAGAUAAAAUAACUUAAUAACAUAUUUUUACACUAUAUAGCGGCCCAUCAAAAUAAUAGCCGGAUUUUUUUUUGUGUAUACUAAUGUGUGUGUGUAUAUAUAUAUAUAUAUAUAUAUAUAUAUAUAUAUUAUACAUAAGUAGUGUAUAUUUUUGGGAUAAUUAUGAUCCUAAACAGUUCGGCCAACUAGUUUAUAAAAUAUGUACAGUAUGUAUAUAUUGUGUAUAUUUAUACUAAAUAUACACAUCCAUUCACAAUGUAUACACUAUCAAUGUAUAUUUUAACCAUAUUGAUAAACUAGUUGGCCGAACUAUACACGUAUCCGUGACAUUCCCUAUACUCCUUAUUCAUGUGAAUAGUAAAAAUUGAAUAUAAAAAAAAGAAAAGAAAAUGACCUUGAAGACAGCUGAAGAGAUCCAUCCAUGCCAGGGCUUAAGGGUGUUAGUGUAAGAUUCUUGAACAGCUUGCUCCAUGUUCCUCUCUAAAUCAUCAGCCAGUAGUUGUAACAAUGCUAAGGUGAAAUCCAAGGAUCUGAAGUAUAUAUCCAAUAUUCUAAACUACUAACUUCAAUUCAAACCAAUUUUUACAUCGUCAAUAAAAACAAUUUCUUAUAUUAUCGAGUCAUUCAAAGGAUAUCUAAAAUAAAACAUGUUACUUAUCAUAACAAGUAAUGAUGAUAUGAUGAAGUAAAAGUUAUAUACACUGUCAGUGCAUAUUAUUUAAACUCUUUAAAGUAAACUCAUAAUUCUGUGGAUCAAGUGAAAACAUCAUGAAGGAAAGCAUUAUUACCCUUGAGACACUAUGAUCUACAUGAACUAACACUAGUAUUCCAUCCUAAUUUGCAGAAAUACAUACAUUCACGUAAAUAUAAAUCAGAGAGACAGAUCGAGAAUUUUAAAUUUGAUGAGUUCAAAUUAUCUUUAAGCUUGUAUACGUACAACUGAUUUCAUUAUCUAGGAUUUAUAGGUUCAAAACAUAACACUUUAUAAGUUGUUUUUACUAAUUUUCUACAUCCAUUUAUGUUUUGUGUCUAUAAUAUUUUGAUUAAAUUUUAUUAGUUCUCCUUAAUUACAAGAACCUUCUCUAAAUACUUGGUGUCUGGUGAAUAGAAAGAAAGUGACCACCGAAAGAUGUGGUGUAGUGGAUGAGGUUGUUCCUUCCUUAAUCAGAGGUUUCAUAUUCGAGCCCUAAAUAUGAAAUAAUUUUUGAUAGAAAACGCUACCUCGAAUGGGUCCUCCCCAAAGCAAAAAAUGUAUAAAGAAAGUGAAAAUAUGCAAAGUGUUAAUUUACCUGGUGAGCCAAAGAAAAGCUUUGCAACAGGUUCCUUUGCCUGAUUGAAAUAUCUCUUUCUUUAAUAUCUCAACCAUAUUUGAGUAGAGAGGAGGGUAUAAAUCAUGCACCUUUUCCAAUUUCUAUACAUUUGAUAUACACAAAUAAACUAUAUAUAUAAGUAUAUGUUAAAAAUAAGAAAUUAAAAUUAAUGUGUACAAUGACGUAUUAGAAACAAACAAAGAAGGGCAAAAAUAUGCAUGUAAUGGUGUAAUGUAAGGUAACGAUCGAUAAAGUGGAUAAAAAUCAUAAGGAUUUUAAUUUGAUAUUUAUAUUAGUGGAAAAGUAUUUACGAAACUAAAAUAGUCAAGUGUAGUAGUAGUUAAAACAUCAAUUUAUCCAUAAAAGUCAAGAUGAGGAAAUUUUGGCAGCAUCAGGCUUCAUGAAUAAUGUACGUUGGGGACCCAGAAUUAAAAUCCAAAUCGUCUGUUUUACACAUACUAUAUGAAAAUACCUUACAACUUUAUCCACAUAGUACAAAAAAAAAUAAUUAUUACUCCAUACGACAAACAUUAUAAAUCACUCUAUUAAUAUUAUAAAAGAUUUUUUUAUUAACUAAAAGUUAAAAUCAAAGAAGAAAAGAUGAUUUAUAAAAUAAUAAUUAUUACGAUAAGCGAUAACAAUCUGAAAAAAAUUAGGAUAACUCGAUCUUAUCAUUGAUUUGCAUGUUGAAGUCUCUAUUUACAAAAGUAUUUCUCUCAAUCUUCAUUUAUGUGUUUUAGUUUAUGUGAAUAUAAAAUUUUAAAAAAUAAAUAGGAAAUUUUAAAAAAUUUAUAAUAUUAAUUAAAACUAUAUGUAAUAUUAUAAACCUCAUAAUUUUAAAUUUGUGAUAUCAAAAUUAAAAUUGAGGCAAAUCAAAAUGAAAAGCAUAAAUUGAGACGGAGAAUAUAUAUUCCGUGAUGAUGCACAAACGCACAAAAAAAUUUGCUUUUCCUUUUCCUCCCUCGCUUACAAUUACUUUCAAUUCCAACCAAUUUCUAGUUAAUGCACCCAUAAGAACCCAACAAUCCCCCGUAUGGAGCCACUGUCGUUUCGAAGAAAACAAAAAGGCAGAUUUCAAGUCUUUAGUUUCCCAAUAAAUUCAAAUUUCAUUUUUUUUUAAAAUCCUACUCUCUCAUACCAGAAAAAGAUUCACCCUCUCAAAUCAAAAGAGAUUCAAAGGUCGAACUACGUAGGACCUGAAUUCUCUCUCGGAGAUACGUAGGCAGCCUUUCAAGGCUCGGUCCCCAUUUUGAGAAAUUUAAUCUUUUUCCAACUCUUGCAAGGAGAAUAGAGUUUCAUCAAUCGAAAAUCGAAAAUAUGACAAUAAAAGAUACAAUCAACUUUGUCUCGACUCAAGUUGACAUUUCUGAUCCACUAAGUUCAAAAUCAAAUACACAAAUUCCUGUCUAUUUAGUCAUUUCUCUAAAUGCAUGGGCUAGUUUAUCUUCAAGUAGAGCUAUGUGUUUGUGGUCAUAUGUGUGAUAUUUUAUAUUAUUUAUCAUCUACAUAGACUAACACGUUUAUCUUUUGAGUUAUUUUUCUUUGUCAGGUAUUUAGAACUGAUCUGUGUUGAUAAGCUGGCUGAACACCCUUAUUUUACAAGAUCUAAGGCUCCCAAAUAUUCCUUCCCCGAUCAAAAUUCGCAAAAAGGAAAGGCAGUAAUGGGUGAUAACAAUGAAGAGAUUGGCUUAACUGAUGUUGUUGUGGCUCAGCCCACUGUCGCUGAUCAAAAUGAAUUAAUUAUGCAAAGAAGACAAGAUCUACCGAAUCCAAUUUUUUCGGUCAACCCUCUAGGAGAUGGAAGACCUCCACUCCACUUUCCUCCUCCAAGCGCGGAACAGGUUCAAAAUCCACUAUCUAACCCCGCUCAAAAUCCCCCAAUCAUCGACCUAACCGCUCCAAAUCUCCAUCAUGCCUCCGUCUCUUACCAAGUGCCACCUCCUCCUCAAGAUACCAACCUCCAAGCGCCACUUCCUCCUCGAAAUGCAAACCCGUAAGCUUGCCCUCCCCCUCUAAAUUUCAAUAAUCCGCAAACCUUCCCCACCACCAAAAUCAACAUGCCAACCCCCAGAUUUUCCCCCGAAAUCACCAAGCCACUCAAAAUAUCGAGAGUCCCUCCAUUGCUCCACCAUUGCCUGAAAAGACUAUUUUUCAAAUUCCAAUUCAAAGUGAACCCUAUGCCAACUGUUCCGAGCUUGAUCACUAUGAGGACCAGAAGAGAGAGUGGAGGUCAAAGGAAGAGGCAGCCAAGAUGAAAAUGAAAAAAGAGAUCAGGAAAGCCAUGAAGGAGUUGCGUUAUAUUCCUGAAAUCGAUGGGUUGAGUUAUGAGGAUCUGUGCAUCCAUCCGAAUCUGGACCUCCCAGAAGGGUUUAAAGUGCCAAAAUUUAACACUUUCGGAGGAAUAGGAAGUCCAUUGGCGCACCUAAGAGCCUACUCUGACCAACUCGUGGGAGUUGGAAGGAAUGAAGCCUUGUUAAUGCGUCUCUUUAGCCGAAGUUUAAGUGGAGAAGUGUUGGAAUGGUUUACCUCUCAUGAGAUAAACCAAUGGUCUAACUGGAACGCACUAGCUAAGGAUUUUGUCGAACGGUUCGCUUACAAUGUGGAGAUUAUUCCUGAUCGCUAUUCUUUGGAGAGAAUUAAACGAAAAUCCACUUAAAGCUAUCGUGAAUAUGCGUAUGGGUGGAGGAAAGAGGCCGCCCGUGUUUGACCCUCUAUGUUGGAGAAGGAGAUUGUUGAAAUGUUCAUACGCAUUCAAGAGCCAGAGUAUUAUGACAGGAUAAUGUUGCUCAUUGGAGCAAAAUUUGCGGAGAUAGUCAAGAUAGGUGAGACUUUCGAAGAUGGGCUUAAAAUCGGAAAAAUUUCUCGUGUUGCCGCCCCAAUUGAAUCUUCAGGAUUGUUGAAAAAGAAGAAAGAGGAUGUGUUUUCUAUUUCCUACGCAUCUGAUGGAAAUGACACUUCAGAAAAUCCUCACCUUACAAAGGUUGUCCUCAAGCUCCAUAAAAUUCAUAUCCAGUUUGUCAUACCCAAUCAAGUUAUCAAGCUCCACCACCGAGUUACCAUAUCCCACCUCCUAAUUACCAAACCCCACCACCGAAUUACCAAAUUUCACCUCUUGUUUACCAAACUCCACCACCACAUUAUAAAAAUACCCAUCUAUAAUAUCAAGCUCCAUCAUUUAAUUGUUCAAAUAUCCAAUCAAGUUGCCAAACUCCACACCCUCCUAGCCACAGAGCUCCACAAUACCUAAAUUUUCAGAUGCUAGCAUCACCUCACCAAAAUCCUCUAAAUUACUGUCAAGUACCUCCACAAAAUAAUUACAAUCUUACUUGCCUAAAUCUUGAGAAGAAACCUUCUAGAGUCUUCACCCCUUUGAUUGAAAGUCGAACACAACUUUUCGAGAGAUUAAAAUCAGCUGGCCUGAUACAGACAAUUUAUCCAAAAAACAUCAAUGUCAACUCCAAGUUUUAUGGACCUGAUCUUCAUUGUGCUUACCAUUCAGGAAGUGCUGGGCAUAAUACUGAAGAUUGUAUCGACUUGAAGCAUAAAAUUCAAAACUUGAUAGAUCAAAAGGUCAUCACUCUUCGGACGUCCACUCCUAAUGUCUAUUGUAACCCAAUGCCGAAUCAUGGAAGGGUGACAAUUAAUAUGAUUGAAGUUGAAGAAGAUUUGAAUGUGGAGAAUGUUAUAAUCUCAGCCAACCUUGAAAACUUGAGAAAGUUGUAGCCUCUCCAACCAACGGAGAGAAAUCUGUAUUGAAGAUCAUGGCACCUCAUUAAGCUUUUGCUUUAAUGCCAAAGGAGGGUCAGAACAAACAGAAGAUCGAUCAAACUUUUUCAAAAUCAUUGUCUCGCUCAUAUAAGUCUUUUCCAAUGCAAAAUGGUCUAGGGGAAGGGAUCAAAAAUUUGGUCAAAGAAGGUGAUAUUGUGCUUGAAGAGAUGAUUGAGACGCCAGUCAUACUAGACAACGAGCCAAAGGAGCAAAUGCCUAACUGGACAUCCACUCCGCACUUGAUUCCUCGCUCGUCUUGGUAGAAAUAGACAAUUUUUUAUGUUGUUUCUAAAUUGGUGGCGUUCCGAAUGAGACUCGAGACCAAUCCUUUACUCUAUUUUUGCCUCAAUAUGUUUUAAUCUCCCUCCUAAUAUUUUGAAGAAAAAAAAGAAAAAAAAAGAAAAAUGAUUUAUUGUGAUGGCCAGAGUUCUUAUUUUCUUAUUUCAAAUGAAGAACUCCUUUAUUGCGAAAAUUUGUUUUACUUGCUUUAUAUUUGCUCUGACAGUAUCUGUCUAUAAUUUCAGUGAAAAUAUUUUCAAAUCUGUCAAUAUCAUAUCAUGUCACAAGUUGAAUGAACAAAAUGGGGUAGAUGUAGACGAAUUUGAGGACAACAAUAAAAAGAUCAUGGUACCAAUAGCACCUGAUUGAGGAAUUCAGACAGUUUAAGAGUCACGAUGAGCCGAAUUCGGAAGAGAUCGGAAUAGUGAAUCAGGAAAAUGAUGAAUGCAUCAAAGAAAUCAAAAUUGGUGCAUAUCUGACCAAAGCACAGGAAAGAGAACUCAUCAGUUUGCUUAAAGAACACAUCGAUACAUUUGUUGAUAACGACAUUGCAUGGUUGAGCAUGAACAUUGGAUCUCACAAGUCCUCAAUCCACUUAAAUGUUGUCAAAAGAUACCAUGUUGGAAGACCCAAUUUAUAUUUGUUCCGUGUAAUCGUUUCUAUUUGCUUGUAAUAAUUUAUGUUCAGAACUUAUUCGUUUUGUAUUUUGAAUUACGUUCGACUUGAGUUUUUUUAAGAAUGAGAUACGUAGGCGGCCUAUGUCGGUUUCGGUCGAUUUUUUCGUAAAUUUCACAUUUUUGUUAAUCUUUGAGGGGGAACUAUGUUUGACCUGAUUCCUGCCUCAACGGGAUACGUAGGCGCCACAAGGGCUUAGUCAUAUCUCCCGAAAAAUUUCUAUAGAAACUGGGAUAGAAUUUUUGAGUCCCACUCAAAAAUUCUCAAGAAGAAGAUCUCUCCAACAAAGUGAGGACUGAAGUUAUUCAGGAUUUGCAAUCGGGAUAUAUUUUUUUAUAAGAUCUCAAAAAUAGCGUAACUUGCUCACCAACGGUUAAAGAUAAGCCAAGACAGUUCACUGGGACAGAAAUUUUGAGGAUGACCUCAAAAUUUCAACAGGGUUUAUCGGCAAUUUAGAGCAACUUUGAAUAUUUCCCAACGAGUAAUCAGAUAGAUCUCGAGACAUCACCUCCAAAUGACGUUCAUUAAGCUUGCAUGACAUGACACUUGACAGUGACCUUUUCCUAAUAUUACAUUUUGGAAAUUAUUUCCUUAAAACCUUCUUUCAUGCUUCAAUUAUUUUGCAUAAAAAUGUCUUGUCUUAUCUAUCAAGAAGUGGGAAAUCAGAGAAAUCAACCGGAGAGAGCAAGGCAAGGAGUAGACAACCGAAGAGAUCGACACAGAUCAGUUUAUUUUUAAACUAACAAUCUUUCUAUAGAUGUAGGUCCAUAGGUUUGCCACAAGAUUAGCACAUUCUUCAAUUUAAUGAAUAUGGAGAAGUUGAAAGGGCGAGGAACUCUCUAAAAUUUGACAAUUUUUCUGUCGAUGCAGGAAAUAUUUCAUGUUUCUUAGAUAUCAAAGAUUUGGGAAUAAGAGUAGCAUUAUUUCAUUCAAAUGCUCAACAAAGGAAAGGUCCAUAAUGAACAUGCAAUUAUGUUCUGAGAUAGAACAAAUGAAAACCUCGAAGAGGGAAAUUUUAUUUGUUUUCCAGCAACGAAAGAUACAUGGAAGACGUUUAUCUGCAUCAUAUUAUCAGAUACGAUAAUAUUACUACCUGGAGAGUUAUUUAUGUCAUAUUGUCAAAUGAGAUGAUAUCAUGCUCUGAGAGUCAUUUUUAUUAUUGUAAAAAAGACAAUGCUGCCACCAUAAGAUACCUAGAAGAUCACCUAUAUUGUUCGGUGAAACUUAUCUUCGUUCGGUACCAAUGAUGGCAUCAUCAGAAGAGAAAGAAGUCAUGCAUUGAAAGAGAGAAAUCAUGCAUUGCAAGAAAAAGAAAUCAUGUAUUGCAAGAGAAGAUUCAUGCAUUGCGAAAAGAGAUUCAUGUAUCACGGAAGAAAGUCAUGCAUAGCAAGAAAAGAUUCAUGCAUAGCAAGAGAAGGAUUCACGCAUCGUGAAAGAGGAGUCAUGCAUAGCAAGAGAAGAAAGUCACGCAUAGCAAGAGAAAAGGUCACGCAUCGCAGGAAAAAGAUUCAUGCAUCGCGAGAGAAAGAAGUCAUGCAUUGCAAGAGAAAGACAUUUUUAUUAUAUUGUCAAUUGAGACGAUACUGCCACCCAGAAGAUACCUAGAAGAUCACUUAUGUUGUCCGGUGAAGCAGCAUAUUCGUUCGGUACUGGGGAUGACAUCAUCAAAAGAUUCAUGCAUUGCAAGAGAAAGAAAUCAUGCAUCGCAAGAGAAAGAAGUCAUGCAUUGCAAAAGGAAGAAGUCAUGCAUUGCAAGAGAAAGAAAUCAUGCAUCGCAAGAGAAAGAAGUCAUGCAUUGCAAAAGGAAGAAGUCAUGCAUUGCAAGAGAAAGAAAUCAUGCAUCGCAAGAGAAAGAAGUCAUGCAUUGCAAAAGGAAGAAGUCAUGCAUUGCAAGAGAAAGAAAUCAUGCAUCGCAAGAGAAAGAAGUCAUGCAUUGCAAAAGGAAGAAGUCAUGCAUUGCAAGAGAAAGAAAUCAUGCAUCGCAAGAGAAAGAAGUCAUGCAUUGCAAAAGGAAGAAGUCAUGCAUUGCAAGAGAAAGAAAUCAUGCAUCGCAAGAGAAGGAAAUCAUGCAUUGCAAGAGAAGAUUCAUGUAUUGCGGAAAGAGAUUCAUGCAUUGUAAGAAAAGAAUCGUGCAUCGCGGGGAAAAAAUCCAUGCAUUGCAGGAAAAAAGAUUCAUGCAUCGCUAGAAAAAGUUUCAUGCAUGCAGGGAAAAGUCACCCUCAACUACGGUUUUCGAGGAAACAUCACCUAUAUUUUUCAAAGAAGCAUUAUCUUCAUGCAUCGCAAGAAGAUCAACAUCUACUGCAUCAUUUUUCUUUGCAAAAAGGACAUCAAGAGAACCAUCAAUAACGGUAUCAAGAGAAUUAUCAACAUAUUACAUUAGCAUAUUUUAUUACUUUGACAUUAAAGGAAGAGUACAUUAAAGAUUAUAUUGCAAAUAUAAGGCACAAACUUUGUUUGCUUUACGUCAAACCCGAUGGAGUUGAUGUCAAAUGUUCAAGGAGAACAAUUAAGUGUCAAUACGGUAAAAGACAUUGUCUCCCAUUUGAUUGCAUUUUUUUUACGCUAAUGAGUUUUAUCUCAGUCUUUGUCAAGAGCAUCCGAAAGGCUAAAUUCUCCAAAACAAAUCACAGGUGCGGACGGCAUAAAAAAAGAUGCAGUACAACGUGAAGUUUUUUUUCUUAGCAGCGAACUGGGACAUCAUUUUUCUUUGCAAAAACGACAUUAAGAGAACUAUCAACAUAUUACAUCAUCCUAUUUAAUUACUUUGACAUCAAAUAAAGAACACAUUGAAGAUUAUAUUGCAAAUAUGAGACACAAGCUUUAUUUGCUUUAUGUCAAACCUGAUAGGGUUGAUGUCAAAUGCUCAAGGAGAAGCAAUUAAGUGUCAACACGAUAAAAGACACUAUCUCUCCAUUUGAAUUGCAAUUUUUAUGCUAAUGAGUUUUAUCUCAGUCUUUGUCGAGAGCAUCCGGGAGGAUGAAUUCUCAAAACAAACCACAGAUGUGGACGACAUAAAAAAGGAUGCAGCACAACGUGGAACUUUUUCUUAGCAGCGAACUGGGAUAUAGUCCGAAGAGGAGUAUCAAACUCUUAGGACACGAGCUGAGGAGCGACUUCCACCACUAUCAAACCACACCCCUAUCAGAAGGCAUGUGGGUUUUCUUUAGGUUUAUUGGUUUCAAUUUGGCAUCCGGGAAACUUUUCACUCUCACCGGAAGCAACCUUUCUAAUCUGAAUGAUAAUGCACCAAGUGCUUUGGAAAUUAUGUCCAUGUAAGUUCUUAAUUAUGGGUUUGAAGGGCCCCACAUUCAUGGCUAAGAGGUUGCAAGCCUCUUUUUCAUACUCGACUUAUUUGUUACUCUUCCAGAACCAAGGGUAUCUAGCAUAAUAGAUAUCCUUUUUCAACUGAUCGAGUCGAACUACAAACAGCCUGAUUCCUAAGGUUUAAGGAUAUGUAGGUGGGAUCAAUGUUGAAAACUCGGCUGUAUUCCAACUUUCACUAUCAAAUCUUAUUCCCGAGCUUUUCGGUCUCCCCAUAAUUCGAUAUGGGAUAGCUUUUGAACUCUUUCAGAGUCGUGCAUUAAAUCAAUCAUAUAGAACUACAAGUGGCCGAAAUUCUCAUAUAGCCUGAGAUAUGUAGAAAACCCAAUUGCGGGGUUCGACCGUGACUCCUAAAAUACGUACCAAAAGCCCUUUCAUAGAAGAUGAAGAUGUGGUCGGUCAAAAUUGGAUUUGUCAAUUUCAUUUGCCUCAGAUCUCUUUCAUCAAUCCAAGUCAAACGAGGGACAGUUGUUGACACCCAAAUUUGGACCUCCACAAUAUAAAUUAAUCAUCGAACUUCCUAAAUUCUAAAUGAUUUGAAAUAAUUGGUUUUAUAAAAUUCAAAAUAAUUUUCAAAUCAUUUUAAGUAGUUCUAUCAUUUUUAUAAAUUUCAAAAUUAUAAAAAUGAUAGUUUCUAUAAUUAUGUGUCUAAUUAGUAUAUUUUGUGAAUGUUCGAAAAUUGUGUCAAAAGGAUUUUAGUUUUAUUUAAUUAUUUGGUUAUUUAGUUUAAAUUAAUUAAUAGCUUAUAUUUUAAGUUGAUUAGUUUAUAAUUAAGUUAAUUAUUAUAUAAUUAUGUAUAAUUAGUAUAUAUUAUGAAUAUUGGAAAAUCAUCUCAAAGAUUUUAUUUCUUACUUAAAUAUUUUUAUUAAAUUAGUUUAGUUUAAAUUAUGGUUUUAACUUUGAGUAAUUUAGUUUAGUUAAAUUUAUUAUCUUAUUCAAUUGAAAUUAGGAAGUUCAUUAAUUGAUUAUAUUAGUUCAUCUCAUUUAAAUUUUAGCCAAAUUCUUUACAUAACUUUCUUAAUACACUUGGCUAUUGUAUUUAUAAAUAUACCCAUUUCUAUAAUCCUAAUUUCAACUCUUAAAAUGUCAAAUUUUGGGGCCAUUUACAAAUUGCAGCAUCCAUUUUUUUUCCCUUUUUUCAAUUCAAACAGCAGCCCACCCUUUUAAUUCCCCAAACUCACAAUACAUAUAACAACAAAACAACGUACACCAACCGACCCAACCCAUUUUCCCUUCAAAUUCAACGCAUACAUCAGCAACAGUGGCCAAACGACCCACCUGUGUUCUCUUCUUCUUCAGCAGUCCAAAAUGUCAACAGCAGCCUGUUGCCUCGGAUUUUCUGGGAUUUUGGAGGAAUUUUAGUACCAAACCAUUUGCUCCCUGUUCCUUGAAAAGGAUUUUGAAAAUUUGAAUUGGAAAAAGGGGGAAUUCCGUGGUUGCCCUGCUUCUAUCUGAUUUCCCCCUCAAAGCGUAAACCUUAGUAUUUUUUCCUAUAUAUACGUCCUCUUUAUUAUUUGUGGAGGGGGGGGGGGGGGGAAUUUUUGAAAUNNNNNNNNUAUUUGUGGGGGGGGGGGGGGGGAGAAAUUUUGAGAAUUAAAAAAAAGUUGGGAAAUUUUUAGUUGGAUUUCACUUAGCAAGAGAAUACAAAGAGAGUUUGGGCUCGCAGUGGUGUGGAAAUCGCUACCUUUAAGCUCGUCGUUCUCGUUCACUUCCCCGCAACAGCACUAUCGAGUUGAACUCAUCAUUUUGAGAAAUUGGAAGCUGAAACAGGUCUCAAAAAGCAGAAAAAUGGGCUGUAUACAUCCGAUAUACACCGAUAUGCAUCAUCUGUAUACCAAAAACGGGUUUUGGUUAAACCCCAAAAAUACCAACGAAAUUGGCCCAAAAGGGGGCCUGAAUUCAAUUUCUCCCUUACUCUUUAAUUAUUUAAUUGAGAUUAUUUAUUGUUUGUUGUUUAACUCUAACUUUAUAAUUAUAAAUUAACUUAGUUGAAUUCCCCAAAAGACGAACUAUUUCUCUAUGUUGUUGUAUUUCUAACAAAUCUCAUUUUAUCAACUCUUGUAUUUUCAUUUAUAAUCUUUAGUCAAACUUUUUUUAUUUUUUAUUUUUAUUAGUUUAAAAUAGUUUUUCAUAAACCAAAAAAUGACUCAAAAUAAAAACCAAUUAAUUUAGUUUCGUUAAAAUUCUAAUUAUUUGUCUCUAAUUCAAAUGUUUCAAUUAAGAUCCCAUUUUUAAAAAAAUAAUAAUAAUAAUAAUAAAAAUCGCUGUUUGUUAAACUAUUUUCUCAAAGUUAAUCUAAUAAUGUAAAUUAUUAUUAUAUAUAUAUACUUAGUCGUUUUCUCAAAAAGGUUAGUCAAUUAAUUUAAAAUGAUUUUCAUGCUUUAAUUUAUUAAAUUGGUUUAAAUCAUUAUUUCAAAAUGAAUUAAAUAAAUUCUAAUUAAUCUAUUUUAUUUAAUAUUAUAAUCACUUGUAUUUCGAGUCAAAUAUUUCAUUUUGGAUCCCUUUUUCUAAAAACAAUAAAAUGUGUCAUUUAUUUAGCUAUUUUUCUCAAAUUUAACCAAAUAUCGUAAAUUAUUAUUCUUAUGUUAAAUUACUUUUUUUCUAAAAAAGUCAAAAAUAUAUUUUAGUCAAGUCGCAGGUCAACCGUAUAUUAGCGGGCACUUCGAAUGUUUAAAUCCUUCUCGAAGUGUAAAUUGAACCCCGAACCCUCUUUCAUAUUUUCACAUGAUUUUUUCUGUUUAAAUCUUUGAAAAUUAUAAGUUUUCUUAAUUUCUUUAAAAAAUUAAGUGGCGACUCUUUCUAAGUAUUUCUCUAAUUGUUUUUAUACUUAGAACAUUUCAAAAAGUAAUUUUUCUAAAAGGUUAGGAAAAUUACGGCACAACAAUAAUAUGCCUCAUCUAUUAAGAUAUCAACUUCGAUAAUAUAUGUAUCUAUCGGUGAUAAUGUCCAUUUUAAACUUACGUCUAUAAAACUUUAAAAUACAUUCUAAAGAUCUAAAACUUGUUUUUCUUAAUAUGCCUAGCAAAUCUUAUAUGGUUCAAUGGGCUAAUUCAUCCAUGUUUUAGAAUAAGGUCACUUGUCAAACUAAUCAUCAGAGAAAGAUUCAAUAUUUAAACGCUAUGAAUAUCUCUCUGGUUAUAACGAACAGAAGAAAAGUUUUAGAGACGAAGAGCAUAUAGCUAGGCCAUUAUGUUGAAGAGUUUUUGAUUGUGAAAUUUCAAUUCCUCAUAUAGCUUACACAAUUUUCUUACAUCUCAUACCUUAAAUAAUUAACACUGAUGUAAAUUUGUAAAUAAAAUGAAGGAAAAAAUAAACUUUUAAAUAUUUAGGUGUACUCUUAUACUAUAUAUAUAAAAAAUACAGUAAAUGCAUCUUUAUUAUUUAAAGAGCAAUAAUUAAAGACAGUUUGAUAAUUAUGGAUUAAAUAAUAUAUAUUUUGAAGAUUGAAGAAUGUAUAGACACUUUACUGUCCUCAUUCAUAAGAUAUAUAUGAGGAAUUAACAAUAUAAUGCUGCUAUUAUUGCAGGAAGCAUAUCAUGUGAAUUUCUUCUAAUAUGUCCAACAAAAUGUCUAAAACAAAAUUAUUUUUAGAUUUUAAAAAUAGGAAAAAGAGCAAAUCUCAUAAUUGGAAAACACAAUUAGUUCAUCAAUUAUUAUUAAGGUUUGAUGUUUCCCAACAGCAACGUAAAUGGAUAAGGUCAAACAAAUCAAGAUUAAAGAGUUUUUAGGAGUUCUCUACUUUUUUUCUUUUUUCUUUUUUCAAUUAAACUAUCAUAAUAGUUGUACUCCCUCCACUUUUACACUCUUUUUGUUUCAAAUUAUCUAUUGUAUUUUGUCUUUUACAUGUCUUUUAAAAAGAUAUUACUAUCUUCGUUCAAAAUAAAUGAAUUUUUGAGAUGUGAGACCCCUCUUUAAAAAUUAAUUAAAGAUAUUAAAUUAAAGAAUUAUUUAAUUUAGUCAUUAAAUAUAUGGUAAUUUAUAUAAUUUGCUUCUUCUUAGACUUUUCUUAAAAAGAGAUAUAGUCAUUAAAGAUAUGGGUAAUCUUUUUUUUUUUUUUUUGGGGGGGGGGGGGGGGGGGCGGGGGGUNNNNNNNNNNNNNNNNNNNNNNNNNNNNNNNNNNNNNNNNNNNNNNNNNNNNNNNNNNNNNNNNNNNNNNNNNNNNNNNNNNNNNNNNNNNNNNNNNNNNNNNNNNNNNNNNNNNNNNNNNNNNNNNNNNNNNNNNNNNNNNNNNNNNNNNNNNNNNNNNNNNNNNNNNNNNNNNNNNNNNNNNNNNNNNNNNNNNNNNNNNNNNNNNNNNNNNNNNNNNNNNNNNNNNNNNNNNNNNNNNNNNNNNNNNNNNNNNNNNNNNNNNNNNNNNNNNNNNNNNNNNNNNNNNNNNNNNNNNNNNNNNNNNNNNNNNNNNNNNNNNNNNNNNNNNNNNNNNNNNNNNNNNNNNNNNNNNNNNNNNNNNNNNNNNNNNNNNNNNNNNNNNNNNNNNNNNNNNNNNNNNNNNNNNNNNNNNNNNNNNNNNNNNNNNNNNNNNNNNNNNNNNNNNNNNNNNNNNNNNNNNNNNNNNNNNNNNNNNNNNNNNNNNNNNNNNNNNNNNNNNNNNNNNNNNNNNNNNNNNNNNNNNNNNNNNNNNNNNNNNNNNNNNNNNNNNNNNNNNNNUUUUUUUUUUUUUUUUUUUUUUUUUUUUUUUUUUUUUUUUUUUUUUUUUGUUGGGGGGGGGGGGGGGGGGGGGGGGCGUUGGGUUUCAAUUAAUCCAUUUGUUUUAUAUUAGUUGUCUUAUUUUUCUCUUUAUAAGCUCCUUUAAAAAAUCAUAAAUAAGAAAGAUAGAUUUACUAAUUUAUAACUCCGUAAAAUACAUUUUAAAACUUUACAAACUUAGUUACACUUUCAAAUAUAAUUAAUUUAAAGUGUAAAUGAUUUUUUUUAAUUCUAUCUUAAAUUUGUAUUGACAAAUAAUUUAAAUUAAUUCUUUUUAUAUAUAUAGACAACUAAUUAUAUGAGACGGAGUUGAGACGUGAAAGGGGGGAGUAAUACAUUUUUGAAUUUUGAAACAUUUAUUGAUUUUGUACCAUAAAGAAAAGUGCUAGAAAUUCAUUCAUUGGAAUGGAUGAAGUAAUUAGGGGGGAUUUUUUUACCUCUUCACCUCUCCAUCAAUAUAUGAAAGACAAAUAUUGCAUAGGUCAAAGUAGCUCUUGCUUAGUAAAUUCAAAUUUGACCAAGAACUUUUGGAAAAUAUUUAUUUAAUCGUAAGUGAUCAAUUUACUUUCAAAAACAUAUAAUGCAAGUGGUAAAAUUGAAAAAAAAAAUUAUCCUGAUAUUUAAAAAAGAUGACUAGUUUUUAGUUGAGAAAAUGACAAUUAAAUGUGAAGGGGUAUCAUUUAUGCCAAUAAAACCAUAUAAACUCGACAAUACCUUUUUUAAAAAUAAAAAUAGGUCCAUAUAUCUGGAACAAAGAAAUACUGGGUUUUGAUAGAUCCAUUGAGUCCGGAACGUUGAGCUUAGUUUGGUAGCAUAUUUGAUUUGUGUAUGGGGUUCCAAACAAAUCCCAAAGGUCCAUUCAGAGACUUGUUUAUUGGCUAAUUUUCUAAUGUCUCAUAUCUGAUGUGCCUCUCGUUCGCGAAGGGUUGACUGUUUUUGCGACCUUCACGUUAGCGAAGAUCUGAUCGUGUUCAUGAGGGGUCGAGUUUUUUGACACUCGCGUUAGCGAGGGUCAGCUCUCUUUCGCGAUAGAGUAGCCCCAUCGCGUUCGUGAAGGGUCAUUUUAUCCGGGGGUUACAUUCGCGAUUAGAUCGUCGCAUUCACAAACCUAAGAUUGCGCUCGCGAGACCCCUGACAAUUUGUUUUCAAAAUUGAGGUUUCAAUCCCAUUAUCCAUUUUCAAACUUUGAUAGCUCUAUUUUGACAAUUUUAAUGAGUUUUUUCAAGAUACAUUACGAUUUCUAAUUCCCUAACUCUUUUACCCAUUAUUUAGUUCAUGAUUUUGAUGAUUAAACAUGAGUUUUGAUCCCAACUUGAAAGAUUUUUAAAGAAUUUGAUGAUAUUGGAUUGAUUUCAACUUCGUUUUCAAAAUGAUUUUCACCAUUAGUUUCCAAAUGUUUUGGGUAACGCAUUGUCACAAAUAUCAGAUUUAACCUUCACUUUCGAAAUCAAGUUUUUGGGUCGAUUUGACCAUGUUUUCUAAAUUGCUUGAUACAAUUGUUAGUUUCAAAAUCUUAUAGUGAAUACUUGCUUGAAUAUAUUGUGUUGAUUCAGAUACUGUUCGAAAGGGAAAAGCUUAAGUGUCAGAUUGAGUAUUGAGUUGUUGAGGCAAGUGAACUUUUAGACCUUUAAUUUGUUAAAGCUUAGUAGAAUCUUGUAUUUUUCUUAUUGUAUGUAUUGGAGAGUAAUGAAAAUUGGUGAUGAGUUGAAUUGUUCACAUCAAUUGAUCUUAAUGAUAAUAAGGGGAAUAAGGCAAUGUGUUGGUAAUUUUUGUGUGGUAUACGAUGAAUGACUUGAGUGGUAGUAUUGGUCCAUUAUUGUUGAAACACUAUAAUUGUAUUGUUGUGAUUGGGAAUGAUAUGGAAUUGUCACUUCUUCAUUAUGGUGUAAACAUGCCUAUUUGCAUUAGAUCUGAAACAUUGUGACGAGAUCUAUUGUGAUUUUGCUGAUGGAAAAUGAUUUCGACGAGUGAUAUUGAUGGCGAUGGAAAAUGAUUCUGGCGAGUGAUAUUGAUGUCCACGUUUUGUUCCGACGGGUACAUAUAUCUUGUGUUUCCCCAUGAAUUUCGAUAUGAAAUUCAGUGGAUGUGUAUCGUAAGACAGACAUGCAUCAUUCCACAUGACAUUGCACAUCAUUGCAUCACAUUUCAUGAAUUAUGAUUAUUGAUUCUAUAUUGUUGAGACUAUUGAUUGUGGACUAUUGUGAUAAUAGACUAUUUGUGUUGAGAUGCGAUUUGAGUUAUUUCUUAUAUGUUUUGUUAUGAGGUGUGGGAAUUGUUGGAAACUUUGAUUGAUGAACUUGAUAAUUGAUUGUGGUUGAUCUGUAAUUGUUGAGGCAUUGCUAUUGAACUAUGUGUUACUUGCAAUUGUGAACUUUUAAGUUGGGCUGAACUCUGUGCAGAUUAAAGUUUGUGGAGGUUCGAUUGGGAUGAAAGGAGUACUCGUAUUCUAUUUGCUUUACAUUGUGUUUAGUGGUUAGCUUGUUGAAUAUUGUAUUGUUUAGUACUCACACCUUGCUUCUAGUGUAGGUUACGAGUUCAGAUCUACGCGAUCAUUCUUCUUCUCUACUUCGAGCGAGGGUGGAGACUUGAGAGGUAAUUGUUUGUCACCUCAGCAGACCUUCUUGUUCCUUAAUUAUUUAUGUUAUUGUUCUUACUUUAGAAACAAAGACAUUGAGACUUGUAUUUCUUUCAAUUCAUUUGUAAUACAUAAGUGACUUAUACACAUGACAGCCAAGUUUUAAGGGUAUUUAUAGAUUGACUAAGUUAUCCGCAUUUGUGUUAUUGAUAGUUUAUCUUCUGUAUUUCCACCGUAUUGUUUGGGUUUUAGGCUGACUUGUCUUGGUGGGAUGAGAUGAGUAUCAUCACGUACAUUUUCGAAUCGUGACAUUAUCAAAUCAAACAUCAUAUUAAUUUUAUACAUAAAUUAUUUCUUUUAUAAUUAAUUACCAAACCUUAAAUAACUUAUAUACAAAUUAAUACAUGAAUAUGUUACUACUCCCUCCGUCUCAUUUUAUAUGUCAUCCCUUUCUAUAAAUAGGUGGACCACAAUACUUGUCAUUUUAUAAAAUUUAUGUAUAAAUUUCCAUAUUUUGCAUAUUAUACCCUUAAUAGAAUAGUUAAUUCAUCUUGUCAUUUAUUAAUAAAGUUGACUUAAGAAAACAUUAAAUAAGGGUAGAAAGAUAAAAUUACAUCAUUUCUUAAUGCGAGUGCAAAGUAAAAAUGUGACAUAUAAAAUGAGACGGGGGAGUAUUACCUAGUAUAUUCAAUCCAACUAAUUGGAGAUUAAAAUAAAAUGAAAAUGGAACAUUUAUCAUAGUACGUGCAGACGUACUGCAGGGCUAGAUACCAUUAGAUCAUAAGCAUAAUUUUUUUUAACGGAAAAUAUAUUUGGCAGGACACAUUUUUGGUAGGAAUUGUCACGAGCAGUUAAUUUCAGGUAAUGUUGUAAUUUCUGAGAAAUGGGAAGGGUGAUUGGGUAAAUUCAUUUAUUUCUUGUACCCAAAGUACCCUCCAAAAUAAAACUACUAAAAGAAAAAUCUUAAACCAUUAGAUGGUUUCAAGAAAUUAUACUGCCCAAAAAAAAUUUCCUUCUCAAUAAAAAACACUACCCAAGAAGCAUUUAUUGUAGUUUAUUCUUCCAAUUAUUGUUAUCUUUCAUUGUUCUUCCUUUUUAAUAACACUUGUUUUUAAGGGGGGAAAUAAGGUAUAUUCAUUAAAUUUUAAAAAUAUUCUUUAAAGUAAUAUUUAUUAAUUUAUUGAUUAAUUAAUACCUCUACAAAAUAAUAAUAAUAGUUUACAAUUUCAAUAAUUAUAUUCCAUGUUGAGAAUAACAUUACUAAUUUUCAUGAAAUUCAAAAUAUUUAAUGAAUCCAUUAUUUUAUAGUUAAAUUAAUAUUUUUAUAAUAUUUCCUUAAGAGUAUUAAUUGUAGGGAUAAAGUGAGAAAUUUUUUUAACUAAUUUUAUUUUAAUUUAAUGAAUAAACAAGUAAUUUAAUAUAUAUAUAUAUAUAAACUAACUAACACAACUAAUAUGAGAUGGAGAAAGUAUUGAAUUGCGACGUAAAAGAAAAUAUAAACCUCACUCCUAAUGAAAUGUCAUGCCAUGUUAUUAUUAUUUUUAACAAUAGAAUAAAAACAUUUACCUCGCUCUUGAAUUUUAUAAAAAGUAACAAAAUUUAAAAUUAACUAAUAUUUAUUAUUUAUAUGUAAAUAUUUUAAAAAGUUAUUAUCUUAUUUAGUCAAGUACGUUAAUUUAAUAUUGUUAGUACAAUUUUUUUUGUUCUAAUAUAUAUAUAUAUAAAAGAUGAUGUGACACCUCUCUAAGGCCACCAUUCAUAUUUAUCUUUUUUUCUCCUUUAUUUUUGAUAUUUUUCUUUAUUUUCCCCUAUUUUCUUAAUUAAAGUAGAAUAAUUGAAUGUAAUUAAGACUUCUCAAUUCUUCAUUAAUAAAUAUAAUAAUUAAUAUAAUAACUUAUACACAAUAAAUUAGUAUGAUUGUUUAAAAAAAAUUCCAAUUUCAUUAAUUUUUUUAUUCAAAUUUUUGACAUUUUUGUAUGAUUGUUAAAAAAAUUCCAAUUUCAUUAAUUUUUUUAUUCAAAUUUUUGACUUUAUUUUUUUUUCUAUUUGUAUAAAUUAUUAGAAAAUCUAAAACUAUUUCUUGAGAUUCAUUUAAACAACAAAGAUUGAUAUCAAUUUUCAUGAAAUAGUUCCCACGUAACUAUAAACGUUAAGCACUAUUUUCUCUCUUCUUUAUUCCAUAUUCACUCUUAAUAAUAUUCAUAACUUAUACUUUUCAUAUUCAUAACUCCUAAAUAUUUAAUUUAAAAUUUAAAACACCUUAUGGUAUUCCAUCAUUUUAUCUUUGUAAAUAUGAUCAUUCUAUUAUUUCAUAUUUGAAGUAGUAAUAUAUAUAUAUAUAUAUAUAAAUUUUAAAUCUUGAAGAAUAAAAUUAUAUUAUAUUUAUGUUUUAAUUUUGAAGAAUAAAAUUCUUCAAUGAAGAUCGGCUUGUGAAAUGAAUACCGAUAACGAUAAGGGUUCGAAGAAUUAUGAAUUGAUGAAUCGAUGAAUCGAUUUAUUGAAUUCAUAUUAUUUUUUAUAAUGGACGUUGUAAAAAUAAUGCUUGUAUUUAUUACUUUCUCUUUUAUUUAUUAUAUAUUUUCUUGAUAUCUUUUAGCUUGAUUUUUACAUUAUUCAUGUAAUUGUUGUUAUUAAGAGCAUGUAUAAGGUAGUUAAAUUUAUGCUCAAGUUAUUUGACAUUUUUUUCGUAGAGAUUUUCUUUGUGCCCUUUUUCUUAUUAUAAAAUGACAAAUAUAACUUCUAAUAUUUUAAGUUUUUCUAAUUUAAUAUAUUUAUAAAUAAUAACUACUCAUACCCUUUAAUUUUAGUCUUGAUAAUUUCAUAACUUACGAGUAUAGUUGUAACUCCUGAGUGGUAUAAAAAACAAUACGAGAAUCUAAAUCGCACCACGGAGGUCGUUGUGAAAACCCUAUUCUAUGUUAAUUGGAAGACGUUGGACAUCGGUCCUAAGAAGUUGCUGGAUCAAAGUAAUACAUUAUACAUCUGCCCGCCAGCAUCAGAGGGGGUUUCAAUUCCCCUUAUAUGCAGUUUAUGCUUGUAGCUACCCCCGGGGAAUACGUGUAAUAGCCCCGCGGGGAACCCCAGCCCGGAGGCGGGAAUCUCUUUUAAUUUGUAUCUGCGAUUGGUCUUUCCUGCAGCUGGACCGCACCGAGGAUGUUCAACCGAUCUCUUACAAGGGUGUAGAGCAGUCUAGUAUGGGAUUUGCAUAACGCUUUCAUCUUGAAAAUUCCAUAACAUCUUGGAAGAUUCACAAGGAGAUCAAGACAUCGACUACAUCGUUUUUCUCAAAGUACUCUAGCAAGGGUGAAUUGAUCAAGAUAAGUUGUCCCUUGAGUUUAAAUUAUUUUCCCUUAUUUUAUAUAAUUAUUUUUUUAUUUGACAUGAUGGGAGUAUAAAUAUCAUACAUAAAACAGUACCAUAUUAACAAUUGUUUAUAUUUUUUGUGUUUUAUAUUAUUUUAAUUAAAUAAUUUAUUUUGAAUUGAUGAGUUGAUUUAUUGAAUUCAUAUUUAUUUAAUAAUGGAAAUUGUAAAAGUGAUGCUUGUAUUGUAUUACUUUCUCCUUUAUUUAUUUAUUUAUUGUAUGUUUUCUUGAAGGAAGACUUAGAAGAAUAUUUUUUGAAGCAUAGUUAGGAAUUACUUUUACUAGAGAUUUUUUCUUUACUUUGACUUGUAAUAUAUAGUAACUUAAUUAAGUAACACAUACGGACAUUUUUGCUCAUUUAGUCCUCUAUGAUCCUACUUUUUAUUGUAAAACAUAAUUAAUAUAACUAUCUUAUUUCAAUCAAAAGAAUUAUGAGAAUAAGUUAUAUUUUAUUUUUCUCUUAAAGAAAAUUAAAGAUGAAAUAAAUUAUUAUAUGACAUCAUUGCUUAUUCUUAUGCAUAUGUAACAAUUUGUUUUUGUUCGCUAUUCUUUUUCUUUGCUUUGAAGUGUAUUUUAGAAGUUUUCUUUUUCUAUUUUUUAUUACUUUUGUUGAAUAUAAUAAUGUAGAUUAUUAUUUUUAUUGUCUUAGCUACAUAAUUAUAAAAAUCUAUGCCUAUAUAUUAUUUUCCUUAAUACUAAACAAUUCAUUUUGUUACUACAUAAAAUUUUUGACAUUAUAAUAUAUAGUGGAUUACUGUUUUAAAUGUUUAGGUAUGGGCUGAAGGAUCAGUUGAAGAGAAAGUGCAACGGCUAUUGAUGACUUGGGAAAUGGAAAUAGUCCAUAAGGCAGAUCCUAAUGAGCUCAAAACUAUGGAUCCAAACAAGUUCACAAUUAGUGUUAAUGGUACACUUCUCUCACAGUUUCUCUUACUCUUUACCUAAGGGUGUAUUUGAUACGGACAAAAAUAUAUUGUUACAAUUUUUUUAUGUUUGGUAAUUUUUUGGAAAAUCAUUUUCUCUAGGUAUAUUUUUUUCUUAAAAAGAUGAGGAAAAUGACUUUAGAAAAGAAAUUUCAUAAGUGAAGUUAGAGGUAGAGUAAAAUUUUAUUUUAUGAGUUCUGAAUUUGAGAAUGACGAGUAUAAGAAAUCUUACAUUUUAUUUUUCUUCAAUAAACAAACACAACACGUGAAUCACCAAUUCAAUUCAGUUGGAUGGUCCAUAUCCAUGUGGGAAUAUAAUAUGGUAUAUAUAUAAAUAAUUAUUUUUAAGUGAUUAUGACUGAGUUCUAAAUCUAAUAUUUGUAUAUUUUUAAAUAAAUAAACUUCUUGAUACAACUAUGAGUUCGACCGAACCUAUAAUUGGACUUCUAGCUCCGCACUCCUACCCAUUCUCCAGCACACCCACCCC